RNAcentral lists this long non-coding RNA (1770 nucleotides) under Equus caballus (horse). RNAcentral's name for it is "lncRNA (ENSECAG00000059388.1)". The record is from RNAcentral. Lineage: Eukaryota; Metazoa; Chordata; Mammalia; Perissodactyla; Equidae.
GGCUUCUCCUUCUCUGCUCCCGUGAAGAGCAUGGUAAUUAAAUGUUUGGUAGUUUGUCUUCCUCUCUGUGCUGUGAGCAAUACUGAAGGCGGGUGGCUGUCAUUCUUUUCUCCGCAGCAUAUGGAGAGGUGGCCAAUACACAUUUCAGUUAUUGAAAGAGAGCAUUCUCCUUUAUCCCUAUGAACGUAAAGAGAGCUUCGCUUCUUCCUUCCGUCCACGGUCCUGGCAGAGGUGGAGCCUGCAGAUCCAGCUCUUGGAGGAGUCUGAGGUGCACUACAUGUAUUAGGAAUAGGAACCCCUUGCCUGUCACUGACGUUUGCCUUCAGAGCUUCCCUCUUCCAGGAGCUCCUCAGCCCUGGCCCGAAUGUCCCCAACAUCCCUCUCUGCUUCACCUCUGCACCCCAGAGUUCCACUGCGCCACAGCCUUUUACCACAGUGAGUUCAAGGUUACCUCUGGAGGAGAUGACAGGAGCAGGACGAGCAGAAACAAAGUUGCAAACGUUUUCAUGGGGCUCAUCCCUUCCCACUAGAAUUGGUCAGCUCCAGCAUCCAUGUCUGCACUGUGUAUCUCAUUUUCCCUGGCUGUAAUAACUCAUUGGCCUAGGAUGGACACCUUACCCAAGCCAAGAAUUGAGAUAUGUGAUCUAAUCAGCCCAGUCUAAGAACUGGUUUGAACCAUAACCAUCAACCUCUCUCAGGAGAGUGAUUAACAGCCAUAUUGCACUGGGGCAGAGGCAGGGGUGGAGAGAAGAGCCCAAAAGACAUGGAGGGAGAUGUCCCAAUGGCUUUGCACUUCGCUGUUCUGGCUCUUUCCUGCAGCUUUAUUGUAUUCUUGGUCUUCAGAUUCCAUGAGAUAGCCAUAUACAUAUCCUUAUACAUAAAAGAAUAUACAUAUACGUAAAUUUGCAUGUACCUAUACAUGAACAUAUAUAUAGAAUAUGCAUAUACAUGUUGAAAUAAAUUUCUAGGCCCAAAAUGGAGCCACUCCUGCUUGGGGUGCCAUGUCAGCAAACUGAUAUUUAGAUAACUUUCAUGUCCCUGUAAAUGCUCCACUUGACCAGAAAUGCAGAAUAUCCAGUUAGCCAACCCCCAAACGUCAAGCCAUCUCUGGGCUCUAUACUUAUUUCCUUGUUCCUUCUCACCCCAAACAUGUUUGAGUGUGUGGCCCCAGCCAAUCAGAUAUUUUCUCUUUUUCUCUUCUUUGUUCUUAUUCUUUAUCCUAUAAAAGCUUCCUGCCUUCUUCCCCGUUUUGCAGUUCUCUGGACCCUUGGGAAUGGAGAUUGUCUGCUUCAGGAAGUGUUAAAGUUUGUUUAUAUCACCUAAGUUGCCUUCUUUAAUCGUUUUUAAAAUACAUAUGCAUAAAAUUCUCCACUCUCCCUUCAGCCAACUUUAACUGAAUUCUGUUAUGGCAACCAAGACUUUAGCCAAUCUAAAAAUAAAGAUCUUCAGGGAUAGCGAGCUCCAGAAUUAAUCCUAGAGGAAAACCAUUUAAUAUGAAUGCUGCCAUGCACCCUCAUCUUGUUUUGUUGCUGAGCCAGAGGCCUGAAAACUUUGAUGACCAAGGUCCUCCAUCAUCAAACACCUUCAUCCAGGAGAAAGUCUGUGGAAAACCACACGACUCAGUCAUUGCCACCGUCAAACACCGACAGAAGCAUCACAUCCUUUCUCGAGAUGUAUCCAAAGGAAAGAUGAGUUCAGGAUGUCUACAGCCCCAGCUAACCGAUCUCAAUUUCUCUUCAGGGAAAAAAACAAUAAAAAUUAUACCCUCAA